This 516-nucleotide ribosomal RNA is filed under the name Lactobacillus iners. RNAcentral describes it as "bacterial SSU rRNA". It matches the Rfam family "Bacterial small subunit ribosomal RNA", at positions 470 to 984 of the family's 1533-position model. The record is from RNAcentral. Lineage: Bacteria; Bacillati; Bacillota; Bacilli; Lactobacillales; Lactobacillaceae.
UGACGGUAAUCAAUUAGAAAGUCACGGCUAACUACGUGCCAGCAGCCGCGGUAAUACGUUGGUGGCAAGCGUUGUCCGGAUUUAUUGGGCGUAAAGCGAGUGCAGGCGGCUCGAUAAGUCUGAUGUGAAAGCCUUCGGCUCAACCGGAGAAUUGCAUCAGAAACUGUCGAGCUUGAGUACAGAAGAGGAGAGUGGAACUCCAUGUGUAGCGGUGAAAUGCGUAGAUAUAUGGAAGAACACCGGUGGCGAAGGCGGCUCUCUGGUCUGUUACUGACGCUGAGGCUCGAAAGCAUGGGUAGCGAACAGGAUUAGAUACCCUGGUAGUCCAUGCCGUAAACGAUGAGUGCUAAGUGUUGGGAUGUUUCCGCCUCUCAGUGCUGCAGCUAACGCAUUAAGCACUCCGCCUGGGGAGUACGACCCCAAGGUUGAAACUCAAUGGAAUUGACGGGGGCCCGCACAAGCGGUGGAGCAUGUGGUUUAAUUCGAAGCAACGCGAAGAACCUUACCAGGUCUUGA